GUGAGACAAACCCCAGCCACAUCUCCAGCACACAAGAACUUCCAAAUGCCUAAACCACAGUGGCCAGGCGUUCCUCCAGAACCGCCUCCCCCAGGAGCUUGCUACAAGUGCCAGAAAUCUGGCCACCAGGCCAAGGAAUGCCCGCAGCCCAGGAUUCCUCCUAAGCCGCGUCCCAUCUGUGCAGGACCCCACUAGAAAUCGGACUGUUCAACUCACCUGGCAGCCACUCCCAGAGCCCCUGGAACUCUGGCCCAAGGCUCUCUGACUGACUCCUUCCCAGAUCUUCUCGGCUUAGCAGCUGAAGACUGACGCUGCCCGAUCACCUCAGAAGCCCUGUAGACCAUCACAGACGCCAAGCUUUAAGUAACUCUCACAGUGGAAGGGAAACCAAAUCAUGGUAUUCUGAAGACCAGAGAUGAUAAUCUCCCUCAUUUGGCUUCCCACUGGGUCCGAUCUGUUAUUCACUACAAAUGCCCAGCUGCUAAGACUACACAAGCACACUCCCUGUAGGCCCAGGAACUAUUGCAGAAGAAAUGGGUGUAUGAGAUUUUAAGGGCUGGUUUUUGAGGGAUAUAAUUAAGUCAAGGUCACAACCUCCAAAUGAAGUUUGGGUACAAAGAUGCCUAAACAGCUGGUAAAACAAUGGCCUUUGCUUCUUGAGCUAUUAUGGGGCACCUUUGCAUCCACCCCAGCUAUUAAGAAUUUCCUUCUCCUGGGCCAGGCACGGUGGCUCAUGCCUGUAAUCCUAGCACUUUGGAAGGCUGAGGCAGGUGGAUCACGAGGUCAGGAGAUCGAGACCAUCCUGGCUAACACGGUGAAACCCCGUCUCUACUAAACAUACAAAAAAUUAGCCGGGCAUGGUGGUGCACACCUGUAGUCCCAGCUACACUGGAGGCUGAGGCAGAAUUGCUUGAACCUGGGAGGUGGAGGUUGCAGUGAGCCGAGAUGGCACCACUGCACUCCAGCCUGGGCAACAGACUGAGACUCCAUAUUAAAAAAAAAAAAAAGAAAAGAAUUUCCUUCUCCUGUAGAAUGAAAAGAAAAUAAUUUUUGAUAGGAUAAACAUACGCCGUGACAAAGCCUCCUGGGUAUAAGACUCCCAGCUAUGAACUGUACAGAUAGAUAUAUAUUUCUUUAAAAAAAUGUUUUCCAAACAAUGCUUGUGUUUUAUAGAGCUAAUUGCUAUAAGUCUGUAACUGAAACCAAGAUUACAGUAACUCAACAAAUAGAAGUUUAAAAUAAGCCAGCUUUGGGCCAGGCACAGUGGCUCAUGCCUGUAAUCCCAACACUUUGGGAGGCCGAGGUGGGUGAAUCACUUGAGGCCAGGAGUCCAAGACCAGGCUGGACAACAUGGUGAAAUCCCGUUUCUACUAAAAAUACAAAAAUUAGCCAGCUAAUAUAAUUUACUUUUUUUUUUUCUGAGACAGAGCCUCACUCUGUUGUCCAGGCU
This 1450-nucleotide long non-coding RNA is filed under the name Homo sapiens (human). Its description in RNAcentral is "non-protein coding lnc-HTR2C-4:1". Lineage: Eukaryota; Metazoa; Chordata; Mammalia; Primates; Hominidae. The record is from RNAcentral.